AGGGAUAGAAGUGGGUGCGGGGGAGAAAGACCUCAGAUGGAGGACACAAGGAGAUUUGUGUUCCUGGAAUAUCCAGGUACCAGUGAAGACUUCCAGGACAAAUUAGUAAUGGACUAGUUCAUAAAAGCUCAGUUAAACUUCAGUUUGCAGCUGAAGAUCAGCUAAAGGAGACCAAGGAUACUUUUUGAGUCUGUGGAAUUUGCCACAGACUCUUUGAAGCAGCUCACCAGAAAAGAAAGUAGCCACUAAUGGGGAAGGUGGAAGCUGAUCACCAUGAGCUGUAUACUAGUGCUCACAGAUUGGCAGUCGUAAUGACCACAAGAAUAUAAGGACUAUCUUUGAAGGUGCCAGGGGAACAGAAUUUUAGUUUGGCUGUCCCAGAGACUGAGUGUGCAGUUGUAGAAGCUGAGGCUGGAAGAAUUGUGACACUCAUGAAUACACCAUGAGGAUAGAAUGUGAGAAGUCUGUCGCAACUUAGCUACUCCACAGAAAUUCUCCCAAAAUGCGGAGUCUCAGUCAGAACCGGGCAAAUGGGCCAAGCGAGCAGUGGUGUGAAUCUGGAGGUCUUAGGUGGUGAGGCCAUCAUGAACUGCCAUAGAUGGAGGGGCAUGCUCUGGGACUAGCUGAUGCCCCUUUUACGCUCUUCGUAACCUGGGAGCAGGCACCGGCUGCAAUUAUUCUUUGUUCAUCUUGGAGAAAAUGGUGUGGGAACGCAUAAUGGGUUGAAUUUAUUAUCAGAGUUAGGAGGGAUUUGGGGCAGAUCCAAGAAUUUUUCCCUGGGGAGACAAUUAUUUGGUCUGAUGUUGCGGCCUGGGGUGUGACACAGGACUGGGAAGCCUCCAUGGGUCAAUAUGAUCAGGAGGUGUGAAUAGGAAAAUAGCUAAAUUAAUAUUGUGAUGUGGGGCCAGAAAGGGCUAAACAAAUAGCUCGGAACCAAAUUCAACCUUCAGAGACAUGUUAGAAAAAUAUGUAAAUGGUAAUUAGGGCUAUUCCUUAGAAAUAGUUAACAUAGCUAUGUUAAAUGGACUAGAGCUUUGAAAUGCAAAUGUGUAUUAUUAGAGAAUUAGAGGUAAUGCUAAGUGUAUGUGUUUACUUAUAUCUCGUUAGAUGUUAGCCAUGUAAACAGACAGUUCCUGUCUAUUAUAUAGCUAUUGAUUCAGAGACCAAAAGGAAAUAUUGACAUUUAGAUGAAAUUGUAUGUGAUAAUGUCAUUGUCUAUAUUUUACUUGGAAGUUUGUAUAAAUAGUCUAUAAACUGCUUAAUGGAUAAUUAUCUGAUGAAUGCAGCUAGUUACUUGGGUAUGCAUACACGAAAGGUAGUUCUACUUCAAAGCUGCUGUUCUUCGCCCAAGGAACCCCUGCUGUAAAGACGCUAUCAUAGUCUGCCAGAAAACUGUAUAAAAUCUCUUGGGACCUCUCUCUUUCGUCUCAGAUCUGCUUGAGCUUAAUUCAGGGGAAGCUUGAGUUAUAAGACUGAGAUUUCCAGUCCCAUCUGGCUCACCCUGGAUAUGAACAUUGGACUAUAACCUAUGAACUAAUUCUGAAAGAACUCUUUGCAGCGCCAAAGCUCCCCAUCUCUACUAUAAAACUGAUCUCAGAACUACAGUCAUGUCUGUGUGUAUACUGAUCUUCUAACCAAUACUCUCUUUUCUUUUUUAAUAAAUUUUAGUUUAGUUAAUAAGAAUUGGCUGU
Trachemys scripta elegans is the source of this 1691-nucleotide long non-coding RNA. RefSeq lists it as uncharacterized. The transcript is spliced from 3 exons. The record is from RefSeq and is a predicted model, not a curated record. Lineage: Eukaryota; Metazoa; Chordata; Testudines; Emydidae.